Molecule: long non-coding RNA, 350 nt
Organism: Syngnathoides biaculeatus (alligator pipefish)
Lineage: Eukaryota; Metazoa; Chordata; Actinopteri; Syngnathiformes; Syngnathidae
Exons: 3
Source: RefSeq, a predicted model, not a curated record
ACUGCGUCUGCAUGCGUUCGGCGUCGCGCAGCAGCGACUCCACGCUCAGCGACACCGAGUCGAACUGGACCUGGGACAUUUGCUGGCGAGGGAGGGAACGCAGAGUUCAAAGGUCAAGAGAGCUCCGCGCGUCGGGGCUCGCUUUCCAGUUCUUCCUUGGCCCGCUCCAGAGUGCUUCUUUUCGCCUUUCUUCUGCGCUGUAGAAAUUCUGGGACUGGAUUCGAACCUUCGCGUGGGAAAAUAUGGUUACGGUCGGAUCCCUGACGCAAGAUUGUGAGCGCGCGGAGCACCUGGUGAUGGCGGGGACGGCGCGCGUCACCGAGUUGCAGAGGGCGUCCCGUCCGAUCUUG